This 323-nucleotide unclassified non-coding RNA is filed under the name soil metagenome. RNAcentral describes it as "partial contains 5.8S ribosomal RNA, internal transcribed spacer 2, and large subunit ribosomal RNA". The stretch from base 1 to 120 matches the Rfam family "5.8S ribosomal RNA", at positions 35 to 154 of the family's 154-position model. The record is from RNAcentral.
GAUGAAGAACGCAGCGAAAUGCGAUAAGUAAUGCGAAUUGCAGAAUUCAGUGAGUCAUCGAAUCUUUGAACGCACAUUGCGCCCUGUGGUAUUCCGCAGGGCAUGCCUGUUCGAGCGUCAUUUCAACCCUCAAGCUCUGCUUGGUGUUGGGCCCUGCCCGCUGCGGCCGGCCCUAAAGACAGUGGCGGUGCCGCCUGGCCCUGAGCGUAGUACAUCUCUCGCUCCAGUGCCCGGUGGUAGCCUGCCAGAAACCCAACUCUCGUGGUUGACCUCGGAUCAGGUAGGGAUACCCGCUGAACUUAAGCAUAUCAAUAAGCGGAGGA